This 693-nucleotide ribosomal RNA is filed under the name uncultured bacterium. Its description in RNAcentral is "bacterial SSU rRNA". It matches the Rfam family "Bacterial small subunit ribosomal RNA", at positions 32 to 715 of the family's 1533-position model. The record is from RNAcentral.
AACGCUAGCUACAGGCUUAACACAUGCAAGUCGAGGGGCAGCAUGAACUUAGCUUGCUAAGUUUGAUGGCGACCGGCGCACGGGUGAGUAACGCGUAUCCAACCUUCCGUUUACUCGGGUAUAGCCUUUCGAAAGAAAGAUUAAUCCCCGAUGGUAUGGUAAGAUUGCAUGAAAUUACCAUUAAAGAUUAAUCGGUAAACGAUGGGGAUGCGUUCCAUUAGGUAGUAGGCGGGGUAACGGCCCACCUAGCCGACGAUGGAUAGGGGUUCUGAGAGGAAGGUCCCCCACAUUGGAACUGAGACACGGUCCAAACUCCUACGGGAGGCAGCAGUGAGGAAUAUUGGUCAAUGGGCGAGAGGCUGAACCAGCCAAGUAGCGUGAAGGAUGACGGCCCUACGGGUUGUAAACUUCUUUUAUAAGGGAAUAAAGGAUGCCACGCGUGGUGUUUUGCAUGUACCUUAUGAAUAAGCGUCGGCUAACUCCGUGCCAGCAGCCGCGGUAAUACGGAGGAUGCGAGCGUUAUCCGGAUUUAUUGGGUUUAAAGGGAGCGUAGACGGGAUGUCAAGUCAGCUGUGAAAGUUUGCGGCUCAACCGUAAACUGCAGUUGAAACUGGCGUUCUUGAGUGCGUUCGAGGCAGGCGGAAUUCGUGGUGUAGCGGUGAAAUGCAUAGAUAUCACGAAGAACUCCGAUUG